This 468-nucleotide ribosomal RNA is filed under the name uncultured bacterium. RNAcentral describes it as "partial 16S ribosomal RNA". It matches the Rfam family "Bacterial small subunit ribosomal RNA", at positions 28 to 507 of the family's 1533-position model. The record is from RNAcentral.
GACGAACGCUGGCGGCGUGCUUAACACAUGCAAGUCGAACGGAAAGGCCCUGCUUUUGUGGGGUGCUCGAGUGGCGAACGGGUGAGUAACACGUGAGUAACCUGCCCUUGACUUUGGGAUAACUUCAGGAAACUGGGGCUAAUACCGGAUAGGAGCUCCUGCUGCAUGGUGGGGGUUGGAAAGUUUCGGCGGUUGGGGAUGGACUCGCGGCUUAUCAGCUUGUUGGUGGGGUAGUGGCUUACCAAGGCUUUGACGGGUAGCCGGCCUGAGAGGGUGACCGGCCACAAUGGGACUGAGAUACGGCACAGACUCGUACGGGAGGCAGCAGUCGGGAAUAUUGCACAAUGGGCGGAAGCCUGAUGCAGCAACGCCGCGUGCGGGAUGACGGCCUUCGGGUUGUAAACCGCUUUCGCCUGUGACGAAGCGUGAGUGACGGUAAUGGGUAAAGAAGCACCGGCUAACUACGUG